UACGUAUGGGGCGAGCGUUUUUCGGAAUUAUUGGGCGUAAAGGGCAUCUAGGCGGGGGAUUAAGUUGGGUGUGAAAGACUUGGGCUCAACUCGAGAAUUGCAUCCAAAACUGGUUCUCUUGAGUUCGGGAGAGGAGAGCGGAAUUCCCGGUGUAGCGGUGAAAUGCGUAGAUAUCGGGAAGAACACCAGUGGCGAAGGCGGCUCUCUGGCCUAGAACUGACGCUGAAGUGCGAAAGCGUGGGGAGCGAACGGG
Molecule: ribosomal RNA, 253 nt
Filed under: uncultured bacterium
Lineage: Bacteria
Description: partial 16S ribosomal RNA
Rfam family: Bacterial small subunit ribosomal RNA
Source: RNAcentral